CGGGGUUUAGUGCCGCAGCUAACGCAUUAAGCACUCCGCCUGGGGAGUACGACCGCAAGGUUGAAACUCAAAGGAAUUGACGGGGGCCCGCACAAGCGGUGGAGCAUGUGGUUUAAUUCGAAGCAACGCGAAGAACCUUACCAGGUCUUGACAUCCCUCUGACAGCUCUAGAGAUAGAGUUUUCCUUCGGGACAGAGGUGACAGGUGGUGCAUGGUUGUCGUCAGCUCGUGUCGUGAGAUGUUGGGUUAANNNNNNNNNNCGAGCGCAACCCCUAUUGUUAGUUGCCAUCAUUUAGUUGGGCACUCUAGCGAGACUGCCGGUAAUAAACCGGAGGAAGGUGGGGAUGACGUCAAAUCAUCAUGCCCCUUAUGACCUGGGCUACACACGUGCUACAAUGGCUGGUACAACGAGUCGCAAGCCGGUGACGGCAAGCUAAUCUCUUAAAGCCAGUCUCAGUUCGGAUUGUAGGCUGCAACUCGCCUACAUGAAGUCGGAAUCGCUAGUAAUCGCGGAUCAGCACGCCGCGGUGAAUACGUUCCCGGGCCU
RNAcentral lists this ribosomal RNA (547 nucleotides) under uncultured bacterium. RNAcentral describes it as "bacterial SSU rRNA". It matches the Rfam family "Bacterial small subunit ribosomal RNA", at positions 834 to 1381 of the family's 1533-position model. The record is from RNAcentral.